Molecule: transfer RNA, 70 nt
Filed under: Flavilitoribacter nigricans DSM 23189 = NBRC 102662
Lineage: Bacteria; Pseudomonadati; Bacteroidota; Saprospiria; Saprospirales; Lewinellaceae
Description: Lewinella nigricans DSM 23189 = NBRC 102662 tRNA-Glu
Source: RNAcentral
GAUUCCGUAGCUCAGCUGGUAGAGCAUCCCGAUUUCAUCGGGAGGGUCCUGGGAAGCCCAGGACAGAUCU